GAUGAAGAACGUAGCGAAAUGCGAUAAGUAAUGUGAAUUGCAGAAUUCAGUGAACCAUCGAAUCUUUGAACGCACAUUGCGCCCGCCAGUAUUCUGGCGGGCAUGCCUGUUCGAGCGUCAUUUCAACCAUCAAGCCCCAGGCUUGUGUUGGGGACCUGCGGCUGCCGCAGGCCCUGAAAACCAGUGGCGGGCUCGCUGUCACACCGGGCGUAGUAGAUUUUAUCUCGCUCAGGGCGUGCUGCGGGUUCCGGCCGUUAAAAAGCCUUUUUUACCCAAGGUUGACCUCGGAUCAGGUAGGAAGACCCGCUGAACUUAAGCAUAUCAAUAAGCGGAGGA
Molecule: unclassified non-coding RNA, 336 nt
Filed under: soil metagenome
Description: partial contains 5.8S ribosomal RNA, internal transcribed spacer 2, and large subunit ribosomal RNA
Rfam family: 5.8S ribosomal RNA (bases 1-120)
Source: RNAcentral